This 609-nucleotide long non-coding RNA is filed under the name Fukomys damarensis (Damara mole-rat). RNAcentral describes it as "lncRNA (ENSFDAG00000026169.1)". The record is from RNAcentral. Lineage: Eukaryota; Metazoa; Chordata; Mammalia; Rodentia; Bathyergidae.
CUCAAAGAAAGUUAGUCUUCCCUACGAUCUUCAGGGUUUUGCCAUUAUUUAUUGAUUUUCACAUUAUAAAGUUUAAACUCGCCCCAGGGAAAGGGAAGAGGAGGUAAUUCCAGAGCUGUUGUAUUGUAUCUGGCUAAGCCAAGUGGCCUCCGUACUUCCCACUGGUCCUCCCAACACCGGGAUGUUGAAGGAGGACAUCACCCACGAAGAGCAAUCACAAGCAAACUUACCAGUUCCCCACGAAAGAACCCUCUGCUAUGUUCAACAAUAGAACGAGAAAUGGGCCAGGUCAAGGCUCUGCCAGCACAGUCUCCUGCAGAAAGUCCAGGUAGAUGUGAAGUUGUCAGAGUAUUUAUAUCCCAGUGUCCUCACAGAGCUUCUUAUUUCCUGGCAAGAAGAAUUUUGACAAAGGCACGUUAGUGUGGUGAUGGCUGGACCGCCACAAGUGGCGCCUGAACAGGGACCUGAGUAUUGAGGGAUCCAGUGAAGGACACCGCUGGAUAAAGAAUAAAAGGAGAUCUCGACAAAAACAAAAAAGAGGACCUUCAAAAGGAAGGCAGAAGAGGAGUGGUAAGUUUUCUUGUAAAUAUUAAAAAUGGGAGCAGGCAA